GAGAGAGAGAAAGAAAGAAAGAGAGAAUUAGAGAGAGCAUAUGUGGGGUGGCCCGUCCUCUUCUGGCUGUGCCGGGUGGAGAUUAUAACAGAACAUGGCCAAGAUGUUCAAAUGUUCAUAAAUGACCAGCAUGGUCGAAUAAUAGUAAGGCAGAACAGUUGAAACUGGAGCAGCAGCAUGGCCAGGUGGACUGGGGACAGCAAGGAGUCAUCAUGUCAGGUAGUCCUGGGGCAUGGUCCUAGGGCUCAGGUCCUCCGAGAGAGAGAAAGAAAGAAGGAGAGAAUUAGAGAACGCACACUUAGAUUCACACAGGACACCGAAUUAGGACAGGAGAAGUACUCCAGAUA
Long non-coding RNA from Oncorhynchus keta (chum salmon), 347 nucleotides. RefSeq lists it as uncharacterized. The record is from RefSeq and is a predicted model, not a curated record. The transcript is spliced from 2 exons. NCBI's taxonomy places the organism in Eukaryota, Metazoa, Chordata, Actinopteri, Salmoniformes, Salmonidae.